AUAAAAAUCUGUGUCAUAGAAAAAAUAUGCAUUAAAAUGCUUUUGAAUUUGUAUGAGGACUUAAAUACAAUUAGGAUUAUUAACACAAGAAACAUUCUUGGACCGGUGCAAGAUGAACCAGAGCAAAAGCAUUUGCCAAUAAUGUUUUCAUUAAUCAAGAACGAAAGUCGGAGGUUUGAAGAAGAUCAGAUACCAUCAUAGUUCCGACCAUAAACGAUGCUGACUAGCGAUCCAGUGGCAU
Molecule: non-coding RNA, 241 nt
Organism: Podarcis lilfordi (Lilford's wall lizard)
Lineage: Eukaryota; Metazoa; Chordata; Lepidosauria; Squamata; Lacertidae
Source: the annotation of a GenBank genome assembly